AAAAACUCCGGUGGUAUGAGAUGGGCCCGCGUCUGAUUAGCUAGUUGGCGGGGUAACGGCCCACCAAGGCGACGAUCAGUAGCCGACCUGAGAGGGUGACCGGCCACAUUGAGACUGAGACACGGCCCAAACUCCUACGGGAGGCAGCAGUGGGGAAUAUUGCACAAUGGGGGAAACCCUGAUGCAGCGACGCCGCGUGAGCGAUGAAGUAUUUCGGUAUGUAAAGCUCUAUCAGCAGGGAAGAAGAUGACGGUACCUGACUAAGAAGCCCCGGCUAACUACGUGCCAGCAGCCGCGGUAAUACGUAGGGGGCAAGCGUUAUCCGGAUUUACUGGGUGUAAAGGGAGCGUAGACGGCGGUGCAAGCCAGAUGUGAAAGCCCGGGGCUCAACCCCGGGACUGCAUUUGGAACUGUAUGGCUGGAGUGUCGGAGAGGCAGGCGGAAUUCCUAGUGUAGCGGUGAAAUGCGUAGAUAUUAGGAGGAACACCAGUGGCGAAGGCGGCCUGCUGGACGAUGACUGACGUUGAGGCUCGAAAGCGUGGGGAGCAAACAGGAUUAGAUACCCUGGUAGUCCACGCCGUAAACGAUGACUACUAGGUGUCGGGCAGCAAAGCUGUUCG
Molecule: ribosomal RNA, 620 nt
Filed under: uncultured bacterium
Lineage: Bacteria
Description: bacterial SSU rRNA
Rfam family: Bacterial small subunit ribosomal RNA
Source: RNAcentral